CCAGCGCAUGCGGGAGAGACUGCUCUUGAAGGGCAGCGCCGAAGGAGCAACAGCCCCGGAAACUCUCAGGCAACCGGACCGUUUGCGCCAA
This 91-nucleotide non-coding RNA is filed under the name Vreelandella subglaciescola. Its description in RNAcentral is "Halomonas subglaciescola Glycine sequence". It matches the Rfam family "Glycine riboswitch aptamer". Rfam says of the family: This family represents the bacterial glycine riboswitch. Glycine riboswitches usually consist of two metabolite-binding aptamers domains with similar structures in tandem. The record is from Rfam by way of RNAcentral. Lineage: Bacteria; Pseudomonadati; Pseudomonadota; Gammaproteobacteria; Oceanospirillales; Halomonadaceae.